AUAAUUCAGUCUCUAGGGUUCGACUUGGAUUUACCACUUGCUGCAAAAAAUAUUUCAUUAUUGGUAAUUUUAGUUAAUUUAAUUUCUGGUGGAUUCGACACCCAUCAAGAAUUUUGGCGCCAUUGUCAGGGACUGAAGUUUAUUUGAUUUCAUGUUUUUGGUGUUAGAUAUUUUGUUAUUAAUUUUGUUUGUGAGUUGUUGCUAUUUUCAGGUUUUUUGAAAAGAAAAAAAAAAUUACGGUGUUACUGUUCAUUGUUACUGUUCAUUAAGGAUUUUGGUUGAAUUUGGAGGGCGGCCCAUACCUAUUUUGAAGGAAACGACGCUCUGAUCAAGACCAAUCAAUCCAUAAAAUUCCUUGGCCCCACCCUCUUGAGGCCAAAUUCCAUUGUUUUCUAGGGUUUUGAGGCAUUUUUUUUGUUUUUACUUUGAUUUCUCUUUGUUUAUGACAAGAAUUUCUCAAUCUGGUGAGUUGAUCUUUAAUCCAGAAGUAGAAAAAACAGCUAAACGGUUGAGAAAAUUGGCUAAGCAAGCUAGGCAGAUUCCAAGUACAUCUGAAGGAGUCCAAUCUUCAAAGGAGCUGAGUUCGGAUUCGUAUUCAGAGUCAAGUUUCGAAAACGAGACCAUGGCUGCUGCUGGGACUUUGAAAGAGUUGGCUGCUCCUGAUCUAAUCCAACAGCCUUUGUGUAUCCAAUACCCUGCUUUAAAUGUUGCUUUUGAAUUGAAAUCUGGACUAAUCCAUUUGUUGCCUAAGUUUUAUAGUGUUGUAGGUGAGGAUCCACAUAAGCAUCUAAAGGAAUUUCAUGUUGUGUGUUUCAGCAUGAAACCUCAAGGAGUUUCAGAGGAUCAAAUCAAGCUUCUAGCUUUCCCUUUCUCACUGGAGGGCAUAGCUAAGGAUUGGUUGUAUUACCUUCCUUCUGGAUCUGUCAACUCAUGGAAUAGAAUGAAGCAAAUAUUUCUAGAGAAGCAUUUUUCUGCUUCCCGAGCUGCUAACAUGAGAAAAGAAAUUUAUGACAUUCGGCAAUACAAUGGAGAGAGCUUGUAUGAGUAUUGGAAACGAUUUAAGAAACUGUGUGCAAGCUGUCCCCAUCAUCAAAUAAGUGAGCAGCUUUUGAUUCAGUAUUUCUAUGAGGGACUUCUACCAAUGGACCGCAGUAUGACAGAUGCUGCUAGUGAAGGAGCUUUGGUUGACAAGACACCAGAAGAGACAAGGAGGCUGAUUGCUAACAUAGCAGCAAAUUCUCAACAGUUUGGAAUGAGAAUGGAUCACACACCUAUGAAAGUUAAUGAGGUAAGUACAUCUAACCUUGAGAAACAAAUUUCUGAUUUAACUUCUUUGGUGAGGCAGUUGGUUGUAGGGAAUAUGCAACCUGUUAAGGCAUGUGAAAUUUGUUCGGGUUCGGGUCAUGCUACUGAUAUGUGUCAUGCGUUACAAGAGGAUGAAUCAAUGCAACAUGCUAAUGCAGUAGGACAUUAUGGACAGCCACAACGCAGGUAUGAUCCCUAUUCGAAUACUUAUAAUCCAGGAUGGUGAAAUCCUCCUAAUCUGAGUUAUGGGAAUCAAUCGGUAUAAAACCGAUACCAUCAGUAGAGAUCACAAGUGAAUCAACCACCUCCACCUCCGCCUCCCUCAAAUCAAGGUAUGUCACUUAAUGAAAUUGUUAAGGCUUUAGCUGACAAUACCCAACAGUUUCAACAGAAGACCAGAAAUAGCAUUCAAAACAUAGAGAGACAGAUUGGUCAGUUAGCUUCCUCUGUAAGCAAGCUUGAAGCUCAAGGUUCUGGAAAACUUCCAUCACAAACAGUCAUGAACCCAGAGAAAAUGCGAGUGCGAUACUGUUGCGGAGUGGAAAAGAAGUUGAUAAUCAAACUCCACAUGAGUCAACAAAAAAGAAGCAAAGAGUAAAAGAGUCUGAAAUUGAGGUAAAUACUGAACCUAAAC
Molecule: unclassified non-coding RNA, 1939 nt
Filed under: Hevea brasiliensis (rubber tree)
Lineage: Eukaryota; Viridiplantae; Streptophyta; Magnoliopsida; Malpighiales; Euphorbiaceae
Source: RNAcentral